GACGAACGCUGGCGGCGUGCCUAAUACAUGCAAGUCGAACGCACUCUCGUUUAGAUUGAAGGAGUUUGCUCCUGAUUGAUAAACAUUUGAGUGAGUGGCGGACGGGUGAGUAACACGUGGGUAACCUGCCCUAAAGUGGGGGAUAACAUUUGGAAACAGAUGCUAAUACCGCAUAAAACCUAACACCGCAUGGUGUAGGGUUGAAAGAUGGUUUCGGCUAUCACUUUAGGAUGGACCCGCGGUGCAUUAGUUAGUUGGUGAGGUAAAGGCUCACCAAGACCGUGAUGCAUAGCCGACCUGAGAGGGUAAUCGGCCACACUGGGACUGAGACACGGCCUAGACUCCUACGGGAGGCAGCAGUAGGGAAUCUUCCACAAUGGACGAAAGUCUGAUGGAGCAACGCCGCGUGAGUGAAGAAGGUUUUCGGAUCGUAAAACUCUGUUGUUGGAGAAGAAUGUAUCUGAUAGUAACUGAUCAGGUAGUGACGGUAUCCAACCAGAAAGCCACGGCUAACUACGUG
RNAcentral lists this ribosomal RNA (520 nucleotides) under uncultured bacterium. RNAcentral's name for it is "partial 16S ribosomal RNA". It matches the Rfam family "Bacterial small subunit ribosomal RNA", at positions 28 to 507 of the family's 1533-position model. The record is from RNAcentral.